GGGAGAUGAUGAUGAAAAUAUGUUGGUCCGUGUUUCUGAUUUCAUCGUGACUGAUACUUUUUUACCAAUCUCUGAUCCC
Small nucleolar RNA from Elaeis guineensis (African oil palm), 79 nucleotides. RefSeq annotates it as small nucleolar RNA SNORD18. Lineage: Eukaryota; Viridiplantae; Streptophyta; Magnoliopsida; Arecales; Arecaceae. The record is from RefSeq and is a predicted model, not a curated record.